Molecule: non-coding RNA, 184 nt
Filed under: Heterosigma akashiwo
Lineage: Eukaryota; Raphidophyceae; Chattonellales; Chattonellaceae
Source: RNAcentral
AGGUGGAAGCAGGCGCGGCGGUGGCGGCGGCGGCCCCUGACUCCGAGGCGGCCGCCGCCCAGCGCCGGUUGGCCGACCUGUGGACGAGCCUGCACGAGGGGACCUACACCGCGGAGGACCUGGCGGCCGCCCCGGACCUGGCGGAGGCUCUGUCCCGGAUGCAGGAGGAGGCCGGGGCACCGGG